Molecule: ribosomal RNA, 492 nt
Filed under: uncultured bacterium
Lineage: Bacteria
Description: partial 16S ribosomal RNA
Rfam family: Bacterial small subunit ribosomal RNA
Source: RNAcentral
AGUGAACGCUGGCGGUAGGCCUAACACAUGCAAGUCGAACGGCAGCACAGUAAGAGCUUGCUCUUACGGGUGGCGAGUGGCGGACGGGUGAGGAAUACAUCGGAAUCUACUUUUUCGUGGGGGAUAACGUAGGGAAACUUACGCUAAUACCGCAUACGACCUACGGGUGAAAGCAGGGGAUCUUCUGACCUUGCGCGAUUGAAUGAGCCGAUGUCGGAUUAGCUAGUUGGCGGGGUAAAGGCCCACCAAGGCGACGAUCCGUAGCUGGUCUGAGAGGAUGAUCUGCAACACUGGAACUGAGACACGGUCCAGACUCCUACGGGAGGCAGCAGUGGGGAAUAUUGGACAAUGGGCGCAAGCCUGAUCCAGCCAUACCGAGUGGGUGAAGAAGGCCUUCGGGUUGUAAAGCCCUUUUGUUGGGAAAGAAAAGCAGCAGGUUAAUACCCCGCUGUUCUGACGGUACCCAAAGAAUAAGCACCGGCUAACUUCGUG